Cyprinus carpio carpio is the source of this 1323-nucleotide long non-coding RNA. NCBI's taxonomy places the organism in Eukaryota, Metazoa, Chordata, Actinopteri, Cypriniformes, Cyprinidae. The record is from Ensembl.
CCGGUAUUUACAGUUUCAUGGAGUUCAUACAUCUUAAACCUGGAAAUAGUAGAUUGGAUAAUUGAACCAAAGAUUUUAUGGCAUAAAUGAAGUAAUAUUUCAUGAUUUUCCAAUAAAAACUCUCUCAAACAGUGCUGGAUCUGGUUUUGCCAUUGCCACAUAUAAACCCACAAUGUCAAUAAACACAUAAUGUCAACAGUAUGUUGAAUGUGUGUAUAUAUGGAAGGGCAACAGCAGAAUAAAUCACCCAAACUAGAUGGGUCUAAUCCUACUAUUACCAGAUCGGUGUUGACCUUGUUCACAGAUGGAGGCCUGUGUAUUCAAUGUCUGUGCUUGUUCUCUUUCCAGGAAACAAUAUGUGGUGACGUUGCCAACAGCCAGUGAUAAAGUGGGCUAUCAAACCCAGUGGGCUUCUACACUGGUUUGGAAAUCUCUUUCUCUGUGUACAUUUCCCUUUCUGGUGAAGGAAGCAGAUGCUUGGACACAUAAUGAUCAUGCUAUGACAAGCGUGUCUCUAUAGGUCAGAGGAAUGAGGACAGCGUCCUGUCUGGUGGGUGCUCGUUUCCUCACAGCGAUGGACGCUAGUCCUUUCGACUGACCUUGGGAAGGACGGAAAAAGAGAAAGACAUUGAUAAGAAACUUUUAAAGCCCGGAUGUACAAAUACAGAGAAAUGACAAAUAGAGACUUGUUCAGUUUGUCAACUUGGAGCUUCUAAGAGUGAGUCCAUUUUUUUGGAGUGAUACUUAACCACCAAGACAACAAUGCAACUCGCGCAAUUCCAAGUACAUAUCCCUCUUAUCAGUGCACAGCUGAGAGGAUGUGGGCGAUAAAGUCAACGGUGGUUACGGUGGAGUGCAGACCAGCACGCUGAGGAUUCAUCAGAAGUCUUCGGCAGAAAUGAGCUGCUGCCUGACUCUCUGUGAGCAAAAUAAAGAAGCAGUCAAGUGUUUCCUCGAAAAUUGAGUGCUGAGAGAGCAAGUAUAUAUCAGUUUAUCAGAAGGCUAACGAAGCUAAUACAUGCUCCAUUAUUAAGACUGUGUGACCUGAGGGGCUUUUGUUAAACAAACUGAGAUGACAUGAACGAAGAGGAUUAGAAUAAUUAACAUAAAUGACUCUGCAAAAAUGAAUAAAUCUGCAAAAGACCCUCCACAAAAAUGUUUCAUUGUUCUCACUACUAGAUCUGCACCUGUAGCUUAUAGCAAAUGACUUUUAAGCAGGUAUCUGCCAGAAAACAUCACCAUUUAGUUCUUAAUUUAUCCAUAUUUAUAUCAUAAUCAUCAAAAAAUAAAAAUAAAAAUAAAAUCAGGAGUUGAUAAAUGUGC